This 320-nucleotide ribosomal RNA is filed under the name uncultured Prevotella sp. RNAcentral describes it as "bacterial SSU rRNA". It matches the Rfam family "Bacterial small subunit ribosomal RNA", at positions 28 to 339 of the family's 1533-position model. Lineage: Bacteria; Pseudomonadati; Bacteroidota; Bacteroidia; Bacteroidales; Prevotellaceae. The record is from RNAcentral.
GAUGAACGCUAGCUACAGGCUUAACACAUGCAAGUCGAGGGGCAUCAUUAUCGGAGCUUGCUUUGAUAGAUGGCGACCGGCGCACGGGUGAGUAACGCGUAUCCAACCUUCCCCUUAGUAGGGCACAGCCCGGCGAAAGUCGGAUUAAUACUCUAUGUUCUCCUUUGCAGGCAUCUAACGAGGAGCAAAGAUUCAUCGGUAAGGGAUGGGGAUGCGUCUGAUUAGCUUGCCGGCGGGGUAACGGCCCACCGGGGCAACGAUCAGUAGGGGUUCUGAGAGGAAGGUCCCCCACAUUGGUACUGAGACACGGACCAAACUCC